RNAcentral lists this ribosomal RNA (1415 nucleotides) under Staphylococcus sp. Its description in RNAcentral is "bacterial SSU rRNA". It matches the Rfam family "Bacterial small subunit ribosomal RNA". Lineage: Bacteria; Bacillati; Bacillota; Bacilli; Caryophanales; Staphylococcaceae. The record is from RNAcentral.
GCAGUCGAGCGAACAGAUAAGGAGCUUGCUCCUUUGACGUUAGCGGCGGACGGGUGAGUAACACGUGGGUAACCUACCUAUAAGACUGGGAUAACUUCGGGAAACCGGAGCUAAUACCGGAUAACAUUUGGAACCGCAUGGUUCUAAAGUGAAAGAUGGUUUUGCUAUCACUUAUAGAUGGACCCGCGCCGUAUUAGCUAGUUGGUAAGGUAACGGCUUACCAAGGCGACGAUACGUAGCCGACCUGAGAGGGUGAUCGGCCACACUGGAACUGAGACACGGUCCAGACUCCUACGGGAGGCAGCAGUAGGGAAUCUUCCGCAAUGGGCGAAAGCCUGACGGAGCAACGCCGCGUGAGUGAUGAAGGGUUUCGGCUCGUAAAACUCUGUUAUUAGGGAAGAACAAAUGUGUAAGUAACUGUGCACGUCUUGACGGUACCUAAUCAGAAAGCCACGGCUAACUACGUGCCAGCAGCCGCGGUAAUACGUAGGUGGCAAGCGUUAUCCGGAAUUAUUGGGCGUAAAGCGCGCGUAGGCGGUUUCUUAAGUCUGAUGUGAAAGCCCACGGCUCAACCGUGGAGGGUCAUUGGAAACUGGGAAACUUGAGUGCAGAAGAGGAAAGUGGAAUUCCAUGUGUAGCGGUGAAAUGCGCAGAGAUAUGGAGGAACACCAGUGGCGAAGGCGACUUUCUGGUCUGUAACUGACGCUGAUGUGCGAAAGCGUGGGGAUCAAACAGGAUUAGAUACCCUGGUAGUCCACGCCGUAAACGAUGAGUGCUAAGUGUUAGGGGGUUUCCGCCCCUUAGUGCUGCAGCUAACGCAUUAAGCACUCCGCCUGGGGAGUACGACCGCAAGGUUGAAACUCAAAGGAAUUGACGGGGACCCGCACAAGCGGUGGAGCAUGUGGUUUAAUUCGAAGCAACGCGAAGAACCUUACCAAAUCUUGACAUCCUUUGAAAACUCUAGAGAUAGAGCUUUCCCCUUCGGGGGACAAAGUGACAGGUGGUGCAUGGUUGUCGUCAGCUCGUGUCGUGAGAUGUUGGGUUAAGUCCCGCAACGAGCGCAACCCUUAAGCUUAGUUGCCAUCAUUAAGUUGGGCACUCUAGGUUGACUGCCGGUGACAAACCGGAGGAAGGUGGGGAUGACGUCAAAUCAUCAUGCCCCUUAUGAUUUGGGCUACACACGUGCUACAAUGGACAAUACAAAGGGCAGCUAAACCGCGAGGUCAUGCAAAUCCCAUAAAGUUGUUCUCAGUUCGGAUUGUAGUCUGCAACUCGACUACAUGAAGCUGGAAUCGCUAGUAAUCGUAGAUCAGCAUGCUACGGUGAAUACGUUCCCGGGUCUUGUACACACCGCCCGUCACACCACGAGAGUUUGUAACACCCGAAGCCGGUGGAGUAACCAUUUAUGGAGCUAG